CCUACGGGCGGCAGCAGUGAGGAAUAUUGGUCAAUGGCCGGAAGGCUGAACCAGCCAUGCCGCGUGAAGGUCAGUGCCCUAUGGGCGUUAAACUUCUUUUGUGCGGGAGCAAUAAUGGUCACGUGUGGCCAGACGAGAGUACCGUACGAAUAAGCAUCGGCUAACUCCGUGCCAGCAGCCGCGGUAAUACGGGGGAUGCAAGCGUUAUCCGGAUUUAUUGGGUUUAAAGGGUGCGUAGGCUGUGAGGUAAGUCAGCGGUGAAAUGCCCCCGCUCAACGGGGUGAAGUGCAAUGGAUACUGCCGUGCUGGAAUGCGGAUGCCGUGGGAGGAAUGUGUGGUGUAGCGGUGAAAUGCAUAGAUAUCACACAGAACACCGAUUGCGAAGGCAUCUCACGAAUCCGCGAUUGACGCUGAUGCAUGAAAGCGUGGGUAUCAAACAGGAUUAGAUACCCGAGUAGUC
This 460-nucleotide ribosomal RNA is filed under the name uncultured bacterium. Its description in RNAcentral is "partial 16S ribosomal RNA". It matches the Rfam family "Bacterial small subunit ribosomal RNA", at positions 338 to 795 of the family's 1533-position model. The record is from RNAcentral.